Molecule: ribosomal RNA, 433 nt
Filed under: uncultured bacterium
Lineage: Bacteria
Description: partial 16S ribosomal RNA
Rfam family: Bacterial small subunit ribosomal RNA
Source: RNAcentral
AACGAACGCUGGCGGCAUGCCUAACACAUGCAAGUCGAACGAGACCUUCGGGUCUAGUGGCGCACGGGUGCGUAACGCGUGGGAACCUGCCCUUAGGUUCGGAAUAACUCCCCGAAAGGGGUGCUAAUACCGGAUAAUGUCUUCGGACCAAAGAUUUAUCGCCUUUGGAUGGGCCCGCGUUGGAUUAGCUAGUUGGUAGGGUAAAAGCCUACCAAGGCGACGAUCCAUAGCUAGUCUGAGAGGAUGAUCAACCACACUGGGACUGAGACACGGCCCAGACUCCUACGGGAGGCAGCAGUGGGGAAUAUUGGACAAUGGGCGAAAGCCUGAUCCAGCAAUGCCGCGUGAGUGAUGAAGGCCUUAGGGUUGUAAAGCUCUUUUACCCGGGAUGAUAAUGACAGUACCGGGAGAAUAAGCGCCGGCUAACUCCGUG